GGGACCUCAGAGGGAAACUUGCACAGGGCAUUCCAUUGCACAGUUGAGAGAGAUCUUGGAAAACCGAAGUAUAAUUGUCUCCUGCGAAGACAAUUACAGGCCGGCACAGUUACUUCAGUGUUCUAGAAACCCCAACCACACCACCUGCACACUUUGUUCCUGAAAUCAUGGUAUUGUUGUUAGCUAAAUAUAAUAUUGAAUGAAGUAUAAUAUAUAAUCUAUAAAGAGGAAACUAGAGAAGGAGAGAUGGUAAUAAGGAAAAUCGUAGCUAAUCUUUGGUUUGCAUUAGCGUAGAGAUAUUGCAUACGCUGUGUGGAUUGACAAAAUAAAAA
Notechis scutatus (mainland tiger snake) is the source of this 332-nucleotide non-coding RNA. The record is from RefSeq and is a predicted model, not a curated record. NCBI's taxonomy places the organism in Eukaryota, Metazoa, Chordata, Lepidosauria, Squamata, Elapidae.